AAGGGCACCACAAGAACGCGUGGAGCAUGUGGCUUAAUUUGACUCAACCCGGGAAAUCUUACCAGGUCCAGACAUAUUGAGGAUUGACAGGCGAUAGUAUAUAAAAUAUAUUUUUAUAUGCAUAAAAAUGAUAGUCCUUUCAUGAUUAUAUGAUAGGUGGUGCAUGGCCGUUCUUAGUUCGUGGAGUGAUUUGUCUGCUUAAUUGCGUUUCAGUAAAUAAAAUAUAUAAUAUAUUAUAAUAUUUAGUUCUGCCAUUUAUUUAUGGAUUUAAAGUGAACAUAUUAUAUAUAUUAUUAUAUAAUAAAUGAAUGCAACGAACGUGACCGUAACCUUUUAUUGCUAUUGAAAAUUAUAAUUAUAGCAUAAAAUUAAAGGAACCGCUGUCAUUACUAAAUAUGUGUUAAAAUAGAGUAAGAUUAUGGCAAUAACAGGUCUGUGAUGCCCUCAGAUGUUCUGGGCUGCACACGUGCUACAAUAAAUACAUUAAUAAGUAUAUAUACUUUAUAAUAUAUAAUAUUAUAUUACAACCUAUUUCGAAAGUAAAUCGGUAAUCAUUUAAAAAUCGUGAUUAAUUAAUAUAAAUAUAAUUAAUUUAAGGUGGGGAUAGUGUAUUGUUAAUUAUUACACUUGGCCUUAACUAGGAAUGCCUUGUACUCUUCUUUGGUUUAACAUACCAAGAGGAAUACGUCCCUGCCCUUUGUACACACCGCCCGUCGCUCUUACCGAUGAAUUAUAUUAUAAAUCUAAGGGAUUUAUUAUAAUUAAAAUAUAAAAAACUUAUAUACAUAAUGGAUUUAAAGGAAAGAGAAGUCGAACAAGGCA
RNAcentral lists this ribosomal RNA (822 nucleotides) under Sorites orbiculus. RNAcentral describes it as "SSU rRNA". It matches the Rfam family "Eukaryotic small subunit ribosomal RNA", at positions 1160 to 1801 of the family's 1831-position model. Lineage: Eukaryota; Foraminifera; Miliolida; Soritidae. The record is from RNAcentral.